ACACAAUCAAAUAAACAAAAAGCACAGACAAAAGCAACCAGUACCUAGAUGCAUCAGAUCUAUGAAAAAAAAGAAGAAAUCGAUGUAAAUCAAGAGCUGAAACUUUGAAAUUGUAAUGAACCAAACAGAUGCCUCGUAAUAAAACAAUAAGUAAACAGAUGCAGAUCUAAAUCUGGAUCUUCUACAACAACCACAACCAAAUCCAUGGCGUUAUUUCCCUUUGCAUGUCUUA
Molecule: unclassified non-coding RNA, 232 nt
Filed under: Hevea brasiliensis (rubber tree)
Lineage: Eukaryota; Viridiplantae; Streptophyta; Magnoliopsida; Malpighiales; Euphorbiaceae
Source: RNAcentral